UUGCAGUUUUGCUCACCCGACUAAAGGAAUGGACAGACACCAAAAGGAAAAAGUCGUGGUACACAUUAGAACAGAGCUUUACACCUGUCCCCCUACACACCUUGCCGUGGCAAAUUUGCAGCCUACCGAAACUCACCACGACACGACACCCACUCAUACACAAUGUCCUCACAAUAUGGAGAAGACAUAAAGACCAAUGGAGACUGUCACCGGGACUGUCAAGGUUCUUCCCCAUAGCAGACAAUCCUGAUUUUCAGGGGGGUGGAGGGAGACCACUCCUUUCUCACCUUGUGGGAACGCCCACCCCGGACAUAACCGAACUGAUAGGGGGAGACCCACCCACGGUCAAGGCCAUAUAUGGACCACAUAGACAA
Pelobates cultripes (western spadefoot toad) is the source of this 374-nucleotide non-coding RNA. The record is from the annotation of a GenBank genome assembly. Lineage: Eukaryota; Metazoa; Chordata; Amphibia; Anura; Pelobatidae.